Molecule: ribosomal RNA, 274 nt
Filed under: uncultured bacterium
Lineage: Bacteria
Description: partial 16S ribosomal RNA
Rfam family: Bacterial small subunit ribosomal RNA
Source: RNAcentral
AUACGGAGGGUGCAAGCGUUACUCGGAAUCACUGGGCGUAAAGGAUGCGUAGGCGGAUAAUCAAGUCAAAAGUGAAAUCCUACAGCUUAACUGUAGAACUGCUUUCGAAACUGGUUAUCUAGAAUAUGGAAGAGGCAGAUGGAAUUAGUGGUGUAGGGGUAAAAUCCGUAGAGAUCACUAGGAAUACCGAUUGCGAAGGCGAUCUGCUGGGACAUUAUUGACGCUGAGGCAUGAAAGCGUGGGGAGCAAACAGGAUUAGAAACCCUAGUAGUCC